Molecule: ribosomal RNA, 255 nt
Filed under: Glaesserella parasuis
Lineage: Bacteria; Pseudomonadati; Pseudomonadota; Gammaproteobacteria; Pasteurellales; Pasteurellaceae
Description: partial 23S ribosomal RNA
Rfam family: Bacterial large subunit ribosomal RNA
Source: RNAcentral
AUCUAUUUAGGUAGAGCCUUAUGUGAAUACCUUCGGGGGUAGAGCACUGUUUCGGCUAGGGGUCCAUCCCGGAUUACCAACCCGAUGCAAACUGCGAAUACCGAAGAGUAAUGCAUAGGAGACACACGGUGGGUGCUAACGUCCAUCGUGGAGAGGGAAACAACCCAGACCGCCAGCUAAGGUCCCAAAGUCUAUAUUAAGUGGGAAACGAAGUGGGAAGGCUUAGACAGCUAGGAUGUUGGCUUAGAAGCAGCC